RNAcentral lists this ribosomal RNA (482 nucleotides) under uncultured bacterium. RNAcentral's name for it is "partial 16S ribosomal RNA". It matches the Rfam family "Bacterial small subunit ribosomal RNA", at positions 28 to 523 of the family's 1533-position model. The record is from RNAcentral.
GACGAACGCUGGCGGCGUGCUUAACACAUGCAAGUCGAACGAUGAAACCUAGCUUGCUAGGUCGAUUAGUGGCGAACGGGUGAGUAACACGUGACUAACCUGCCCCUUUCUCUGGGAUAACGCUCCGAAAGGAGUGCUAAUACCGGAUACUCACACCGAGGCACAUGCCUUGGUGUGGAAAGUUUUUCGGAAAGGGAUGGAGUCGCGGCCUAUCAGCUUGUUGGUGAGGUAACGGCUCACCAAGGCGACGACGGGUAGCCGGCCUGAGAGGGCGACCGGCCACACUGGGACUGAGACACGGCCCAGACUUCUACGGGAGGCAGCAGUGGGGAAUAUUGCACAAUGGGCGCAAGCCUGAUGCAGCGACGCCGCGUGAGGGAUGAAGGUCUUCGGAUUGUAAACCUCUUUCAGUAGGGACGAAGCGAAAGUGACGGUACCUAAAGAAGAAGCACCGGCUAACUACGUGCCAGCAGCAGCCGCAG